AUCCGUUGUAGUUCUUUGGUUCCUUCCCAUGGCAAGCUAAUGUCUUCGCUUCCCGUUCCUUGUACUUCUUUGGUUCCUUCCCGGUCCCCAAGAAUGGUUCCCAAGAAAGGAUCUGAGUCAAGAAUGACUCCCGCUCCGGCGCGAUCCGCCCACGUGGAAGAAUCUAAGGCGAGCUCGUCGGAUUCGGACCUCUUCGCCGCCUUCAUCGCUCGGAGGAAGUUCUUCAACUAUGAGCAGAACCGCCUCCAAGACCAGGUCGACACCCUCGGGCGCCGUUCCAAGUGGCUGAAGACUUGCAUGGACGAACAAAGCGAAGAUGGGUUGAGGAGUGCCAAGGCGCUGAAGACGUGCAUUGGUAAGACGAGCGAGCUGCAGCGUGCUUUGCACGAUCGACGGGAUAAACGUGAGACGUGUGACCAAAAUUUCACCCUGGCACCAUGGUGUCUUCUUUUAUGUUAUAUAUGAAGAUUGGGUUCAAGAAUAAGUGUUGUUCCUCUGUCUUUUAUGGUGUUACAUAUGAAGACCUCAAGAAAACUUAAAUCAUCUAGCAUGUUGCUGCAUUCUGUAGCUUAAAGCUUUGAAUUCCGAAAUUGGAUUCUUAAGAAGCGACGAGAAGAUGGUGUGGAAUGAAUAUCAAAACACCGAAGAUGAGCUCCAUGAAUGCAAACAAAGGAUGAAAAGUCUUCUGAGGCAGUUAAGCGAAGAAAGCAAAGCCAAAGGAUCAGCUAGUGAGCAGCAUAAGACUACUAGUAAAGUGAGGAACAACAUAAUUUCCUACAAUUUCUGUCAUUCUUGACAUUGUCUUCUUAGCAUACUUUAUUCUUGCUCUGUUAUUUUUCUUUUCCCUCUCUAAUUGUUUGAAGUUUGUAAUCUCGUGCACAGGGAAAGCAAAUUAUGUCAUAGAACAAUGUCACAGCAAUUUUCAACUCUGCUAUUGUGCAGUGCAUUGUAAGUUCUUUGGAGGGAAGCUGUUGAGUGAAACCAUGGUUUUCUUUCAAUGGUUGUCAACUUCAUCAUAAUGAAUCUUAUGUUCUGAGGUCAUGGCUUCCCACUGGAACCCCUUCCUGUACUGGAUUCUUUUGUAUCAUCCAAGUCAUAACAAUCAAAAUGUUAGCUUCAUACUAAAUCUUA
Molecule: RNA transcript, 1131 nt
Organism: Musa acuminata AAA Group (dessert banana)
Lineage: Eukaryota; Viridiplantae; Streptophyta; Magnoliopsida; Zingiberales; Musaceae
Exons: 4
Source: RefSeq, a predicted model, not a curated record